CCUCCUCCCUGCCCUGCUGCACAGAGACACUGGUAAUAAUGACAACAACACACAGAGAAAGACUUUAUACUGUAAGGGAGAGAAAGAGAGAGAAAACCAACAUCCACAAGCCGAAAAUAAUGCAUACCGUUAAAUAUACCUGUUAUAACUCCAAGGGGAGCACCAUCUACCUAUCCACCACCAAAACUGACAGCCGAGCAAGCAACUUCUUUCUCUCCACCCCAUCGCUGGAUUGUUCCUUCCACUCUUGCUCAUCGUAUAAAACAACUUUUACCAGUAAAUAUCGGUUUAUUCCUGAAACCAGAAGCCCUAAACAUAUCUUUGUUUAUAAGAGUUUGGAAUGACCAGCCCGCAAAAGAGACCUGUUCUGAUAUGAGCCUGCCAUUACUUCUCAGACAAACUCUGAGCAGUCCCACUCCGAUAAAGCUGCCAGCAAUUGCAGAAAAGACCUCCCUGUUUUGGCAUUCUACAUAUGGAAUGACUACUUGGUUCCUUUUCAUCAUCUUCCCAUGAGAUGAUUUUCAUACUGCUGUUUUAUGUGUUUUAUUUAUUACCGUUUUAAUGUUUGUUGCAGUCUUUUUAACCAUUGCAAUGUGAACUAUCUUAAAAAAAUACUUCAGAUGGAAAAUUGCAUGCAUGUAUGUAUAUAUGCUUGAAUAAGAGGGAAAACAUUACUUUAACACAGGUAUAGAAAGAUCGGCUCAGGCAUCUCUCACUAGCUGCAUAAGCAAUAUCAUGAGCUAAUAAGCAGAUAUUGGCUUCCUAAAAUCAAAUCUUUGUUGCAGCAGGAGAUUUAGUAGCCCAGCUGAGUUCAAGAGGAAGCCUGCGAGAUGGAAUAUCUGAGAACAAUCCCUUACUCAAAAAGAAUUUAACCGUUUGCUUCCUAUAUACACCCAUAGUCACUUGCCAUUGAACUGGCUUGACCUAUUUAUGAAAAUAAAACCAGAAACUAAAAAAAUCUGAGUUUCUGUUUCAUAUUAAGAAAACAAAUUAAUGCCAACCAGAAUGCUUCUUGAACUCCCUGCUGGCCCAGAAGUGAAGAUUGUUCUGUUUCCUGAAAUUCAAGGGUAAAGACGAACAAUCAGCUGGAGAAGUAAAGAAGAUGCCAAUUGCUGGGAUGUCCCAAAGGUGCUUUUCCGGAGGUAACUGGACUUUCUCGUUUUUCUUUUGAAGAUGUUUUGCUUCUUCAGCUCUGACCGGAUAGUGGGGAAUGGAAGGACUAUCCUGUCAGAGCUGAAGAAGCUUCUUGGAUGAGAAGCAAAAUGUCUUCAAAAGAAAAACAAGGAAGCCCAGUUGCCUCCUGAAAAAGCACUUCUGGGACAACCCAUGACCCGGAUGACUGAGAAUCUCAGGUCAUGGGUUGUCCCAGAACCUGGAUGACUGAGAAUCUCUACAGACAAUUACUGGGAUGAAAGCAAUAACAAUGUUAGUCAACUCUGGAAGGAAAAGGACAUUUUUAAUGACAACACAGAUCAGAAGAAUUGAUCAUAAUAGAUCAUAAUCGUUUUCCUAUUAUAAGGUGAAAAGUAGAAAAAGAAGGUAAAACACUGACACUUAGGAAGAAGAAAAGCAAUUCCUUCAAAUUAUGCAUCUAACAAUUAUUACUAAGUACAGUACCGUGACUGCAAAAGAAGCAACCCGUC
Naja naja (Indian cobra) is the source of this 1643-nucleotide long non-coding RNA. Lineage: Eukaryota; Metazoa; Chordata; Lepidosauria; Squamata; Elapidae. The record is from Ensembl.